RNAcentral lists this ribosomal RNA (253 nucleotides) under uncultured bacterium. Its description in RNAcentral is "partial 16S ribosomal RNA". It matches the Rfam family "Bacterial small subunit ribosomal RNA", at positions 524 to 776 of the family's 1533-position model. The record is from RNAcentral.
UACGGGGGGGGCAAGCGUUGUUCGGAAUUACUGGGCGUAAAGCGCACGUAGGCGGCUAUCUAAGUCGGAUGUGAAAUCCCUCGGCUUAACCAAGGAAGUGCACCCGAAACUGGAUAGCUUGAGUACAGAAGAGGAUCGCGGAAUUCCCGGUGUAGAGGUGAAAUUCGUAGAUAUCGGGAGGAACACCAGUGGCGAAGGCGGCGAUCUGGGCUGAUACUGACGCUGAGGUGCGAAAGCGUGGGGAGCAAACAGG